This 2903-nucleotide ribosomal RNA is filed under the name Escherichia coli. RNAcentral's name for it is "23S ribosomal RNA". It matches the Rfam family "Bacterial large subunit ribosomal RNA". The record is from RNAcentral. Lineage: Bacteria; Pseudomonadati; Pseudomonadota; Gammaproteobacteria; Enterobacterales; Enterobacteriaceae.
GGUUAAGCGACUAAGCGUACACGGUGGAUGCCCUGGCAGUCAGAGGCGAUGAAGGACGUGCUAAUCUGCGAUAAGCGUCGGUAAGGUGAUAUGAACCGUUAUAACCGGCGAUUUCCGAAUGGGGAAACCCAGUGUGUUUCGACACACUAUCAUUAACUGAAUCCAUAGGUUAAUGAGGCGAACCGGGGGAACUGAAACAUCUAAGUACCCCGAGGAAAAGAAAUCAACCGAGAUUCCCCCAGUAGCGGCGAGCGAACGGGGAGCAGCCCAGAGCCUGAAUCAGUGUGUGUGUUAGUGGAAGCGUCUGGAAAGGCGCGCGAUACAGGGUGACAGCCCCGUACACAAAAAUGCACAUGCUGUGAGCUCGAUGAGUAGGGCGGGACACGUGGUAUCCUGUCUGAAUAUGGGGGGACCAUCCUCCAAGGCUAAAUACUCCUGACUGACCGAUAGUGAACCAGUACCGUGAGGGAAAGGCGAAAAGAACCCCGGCGAGGGGAGUGAAAAAGAACCUGAAACCGUGUACGUACAAGCAGUGGGAGCCUCUUUAUGGGGUGACUGCGUACCUUUUGUAUAAUGGGUCAGCGACUUAUAUUCUGUAGCAAGGUUAACCGAAUAGGGGAGCCGAAGGGAAACCGAGUCUUAACUGGGCGUUAAGUUGCAGGGUAUAGACCCGAAACCCGGUGAUCUAGCCAUGGGCAGGUUGAAGGUUGGGUAACACUAACUGGAGGACCGAACCGACUAAUGUUGAAAAAUUAGCGGAUGACUUGUGGCUGGGGGUGAAAGGCCAAUCAAACCGGGAGAUAGCUGGUUCUCCCCGAAAGCUAUUUAGGUAGCGCCUCGUGAACUCAUCUCCGGGGGUAGAGCACUGUUUCGGCAAGGGGGUCAUCCCGACUUACCAACCCGAUGCAAACUGCGAAUACCGGAGAAUGUUAUCACGGGAGACACACGGCGGGUGCUAACGUCCGUCGUGAAGAGGGAAACAACCCAGACCGCCAGCUAAGGUCCCAAAGUCAUGGUUAAGUGGGAAACGAUGUGGGAAGGCCCAGACAGCCAGGAUGUUGGCUUAGAAGCAGCCAUCAUUUAAAGAAAGCGUAAUAGCUCACUGGUCGAGUCGGCCUGCGCGGAAGAUGUAACGGGGCUAAACCAUGCACCGAAGCUGCGGCAGCGACGCUGAUGCGUUGUUGGGUAGGGGAGCGUUCUGUAAGCCUGUGAAGGUGUACUGUGAGGUAUGCUGGAGGUAUCAGAAGUGCGAAUGCUGACAUAAGUAACGAUAAAGCGGGUGAAAAGCCCGCUCGCCGGAAGACCAAGGGUUCCUGUCCAACGUUAAUCGGGGCAGGGUGAGUCGACCCCUAAGGCGAGGCCGAAAGGCGUAGUCGAUGGGAAACAGGUUAAUAUUCCUGUACUUGGUGUUACUGCGAAGGGGGGACGGAGAAGGCUAUGUUGGCCGGGCGACGGUUGUCCCGGUUUAAGCGUGUAGGCUGGUUUUCCAGGCAAAUCCGGAAAAUCAAGGCUGAGGCGUGAUGACGAGGCACUACGGUGCUGAAGCAACAAAUGCCCUGCUUCCAGGAAAAGCCUCUAAGCAUCAGGUAACAUCAAAUCGUACCCCAAACCGACACAGGUGGUCAGGUAGAGAAUACCAAGGCGCUUGAGAGAACUCGGGUGAAGGAACUAGGCAAAAUGGUGCCGUAACUUCGGGAGAAGGCACGCUGAUAUGUAGGUGAAGCGACUUGCUCGUGGAGCUGAAAUCAGUCGAAGAUACCAGCUGGCUGCAACUGUUUAUUAAAAACACAGCACUGUGCAAACACGAAAGUGGACGUAUACGGUGUGACGCCUGCCCGGUGCCGGAAGGUUAAUUGAUGGGGUUAGCGCAAGCGAAGCUCUUGAUCGAAGCCCCGGUAAACGGCGGCCGUAACUAUAACGGUCCUAAGGUAGCGAAAUUCCUUGUCGGGUAAGUUCCGACCUGCACGAAUGGCGUAAUGAUGGCCAGGCUGUCUCCACCCGAGACUCAGUGAAAUUGAACUCGCUGUGAAGAUGCAGUGUACCCGCGGCAAGACGGAAAGACCCCGUGAACCUUUACUAUAGCUUGACACUGAACAUUGAGCCUUGAUGUGUAGGAUAGGUGGGAGGCUUUGAAGUGUGGACGCCAGUCUGCAUGGAGCCGACCUUGAAAUACCACCCUUUAAUGUUUGAUGUUCUAACGUUGACCCGUAAUCCGGGUUGCGGACAGUGUCUGGUGGGUAGUUUGACUGGGGCGGUCUCCUCCUAAAGAGUAACGGAGGAGCACGAAGGUUGGCUAAUCCUGGUCGGACAUCAGGAGGUUAGUGCAAUGGCAUAAGCCAGCUUGACUGCGAGCGUGACGGCGCGAGCAGGUGCGAAAGCAGGUCAUAGUGAUCCGGUGGUUCUGAAUGGAAGGGCCAUCGCUCAACGGAUAAAAGGUACUCCGGGGAUAACAGGCUGAUACCGCCCAAGAGUUCAUAUCGACGGCGGUGUUUGGCACCUCGAUGUCGGCUCAUCACAUCCUGGGGCUGAAGUAGGUCCCAAGGGUAUGGCUGUUCGCCAUUUAAAGUGGUACGCGAGCUGGGUUUAGAACGUCGUGAGACAGUUCGGUCCCUAUCUGCCGUGGGCGCUGGAGAACUGAGGGGGGCUGCUCCUAGUACGAGAGGACCGGAGUGGACGCAUCACUGGUGUUCGGGUUGUCAUGCCAAUGGCACUGCCCGGUAGCUAAAUGCGGAAGAGAUAAGUGCUGAAAGCAUCUAAGCACGAAACUUGCCCCGAGAUGAGUUCUCCCUGACUCCUUGAGAGUCCUGAAGGAACGUUGAAGACGACGACGUUGAUAGGCCGGGUGUGUAAGCGCAGCGAUGCGUUGAGCUAACCGGUACUAAUGAACCGUGAGGCUUAACCUU